Molecule: ribosomal RNA, 253 nt
Filed under: uncultured bacterium
Lineage: Bacteria
Description: partial 16S ribosomal RNA
Rfam family: Bacterial small subunit ribosomal RNA
Source: RNAcentral
UACGAAGGGUGCAAACGUUGCUCGGAAUUAUUGGGCGUAAAGCGCACGUAGGCGGCUCUAUAAGUCGGAUGUGAAAUCCCUCGGCUCAACCAAGGAAGUGCAUUCGAAACUGUAGAGCUUGAGUAGUUAAGAGGAUCGCGGAAUUCCCGGUGUAGAGGUGAAAUUCGUAGAUAUCGGGAGGAACACCAGUGGCGAAGGCGGCGAUCUGGGAACAUACUGACGCUGAGGUGCGAAAGCGUGGGGAGCGAACCGG